This 497-nucleotide ribosomal RNA is filed under the name uncultured bacterium. RNAcentral describes it as "partial 16S ribosomal RNA". It matches the Rfam family "Bacterial small subunit ribosomal RNA", at positions 28 to 507 of the family's 1533-position model. The record is from RNAcentral.
GACGAACGCUGGCGGCGUGCCUAAUACAUGCAAGUUGAGCGCUGAAGGUUGGUACUUGUACCAACUGGAUGAGCAGCGAACGGGUGAGUAACGCGUGGGGAAUCUGCCUUUGAGCGGGGGACAACAUUUGGAAACGAAUGCUAAUACCGCAUAAAAACUUUAAACACAAGUUUUAAGUUUGAAAGAUGCAAUUGCAUCACUCAAAGAUGAUCCCGCGUUGUAUUAGCUAGUUGGUGAGGUAAAGGCUCACCAAGGCGAUGAUACAUAGCCGACCUGAGAGGGAGAUCGGCCACAAUGGGACUGAGACACGGCCCAAGAUCCUACGGGAAGCAGCAGGAGGGAAUCUUCGGCAAUGGACGAAAGGCUGACCGAGCAACGCCGCGUGAGUGAAGAAGGUUGUCGGAUCGUAAAACUCUGUUGGUAGAGAAAGACGUUGGGGAGAGUGAAAAGCUCAUCAAGUGACGGUAACUACACAGAAAGGAACGGCUAACUACGUG